GCAGAUGUAGUUCAAUGGUAGAACGCCACCUUGCCAAGGUGGACACGGCGGUUCAAUUCCGCUCAUCUGCUCCA
Molecule: transfer RNA, 74 nt
Filed under: Lachnospiraceae bacterium
Lineage: Bacteria; Bacillati; Bacillota; Clostridia; Lachnospirales; Lachnospiraceae
Also listed under: 5 other names
Description: tRNA-Gly
Rfam family: tRNA
About the family: Transfer RNA (tRNA) molecules are approximately 80 nucleotides in length. Their secondary structure includes four short double-helical elements and three loops (D, anti-codon, and T loops).
Source: RNAcentral